This 68-nucleotide transfer RNA is filed under the name Dolichoris vasculosae. Its description in RNAcentral is "tRNA-Leu". The record is from RNAcentral. Lineage: Eukaryota; Metazoa; Arthropoda; Insecta; Hymenoptera; Agaonidae.
UUCUAAUAUGGCAGAAUAGUGCAAAAAAUGCUCAUUUUCAUUAUGUUAAUAUCUAUAUUAGCUUAUGA